UCCAACAGCCACGUACUCCAUAAACAGC
This 28-nucleotide non-coding RNA is filed under the name Homo sapiens (human). The record is from RNAcentral. Lineage: Eukaryota; Metazoa; Chordata; Mammalia; Primates; Hominidae.